RNAcentral lists this ribosomal RNA (458 nucleotides) under uncultured archaeon. RNAcentral describes it as "bacterial SSU rRNA". It matches the Rfam family "Archaeal small subunit ribosomal RNA", at positions 880 to 1336 of the family's 1478-position model. The record is from RNAcentral.
CACAAGGGGUGAAGCCUGCGGUUCANUUGGAGUCAACGCCGGAAAUCUUACCGGGGGCGACAGCAGAGUGAAGGUCAAGCUGAAGACUUUACCAGACAAGCUGAGAGGAGGUGCAUGGCCGUCGCCAGCUCGUGCCGUGAGGUGUCCUGUUAAGUCAGGUAACGAGCGAGAUCCCUAUCUCUAGUUGCUACUGCUGCUCUCANGAGUANUAAAGCUAAUUAGAGGGACCGCCGCCGCUGGGGCGGAGGAAGGAGGGGGCUACGGCAGGUCAGUAUGCCCCGAAACCCUCGGGCCACACGCGGGCUGCAAUGGUAAGGACAAUGGGUUCCUAUUCCGAAAGGAGGAGGCAAUCCCCAAACCUUACCCCAGUUAUGAUUGAGGGCUGAAACUCGCCCUCNUGNANNUGGAAUCCCUANUAACCGCGUGUCAUCAUCGCGCGGNGAAUACGUCCCUGCUCC